RNAcentral lists this transfer RNA (105 nucleotides) under Hoylesella buccalis. Its description in RNAcentral is "tRNA-Ala". It matches the Rfam family "tRNA". From Rfam's summary of the family: Transfer RNA (tRNA) molecules are approximately 80 nucleotides in length. Their secondary structure includes four short double-helical elements and three loops (D, anti-codon, and T loops). RNAcentral also lists the same sequence under 1 other name. The record is from RNAcentral. Lineage: Bacteria; Pseudomonadati; Bacteroidota; Bacteroidia; Bacteroidales; Prevotellaceae.
GGAAUGGUGGCGGAAAUGGUAGACGCAACGAGGAUAGCGCGCACGUUAUGAGAAGCCGACUUGCAACAAACGGUCUCAUUGCAGGUUCGACCCCUGCCCAUUCCA